RNAcentral lists this ribosomal RNA (497 nucleotides) under uncultured bacterium. RNAcentral describes it as "partial 16S ribosomal RNA". It matches the Rfam family "Bacterial small subunit ribosomal RNA", at positions 28 to 507 of the family's 1533-position model. The record is from RNAcentral.
GAUGAACGCUGGCGGCGUGCCUAAUACAUGCAAGUCGAGCGAACGGACGAGAAGCUUGCUUUUCUGAUGUUAGCGGCGGACGGGUGAGUAACACGUGGAUAACCUACCUAUAAGACUGGGAUAACUUCGGGAAGCCGGAGCUAAUACCGGAUAAUAUUUUGAACCGCAUGGUUCAAAAGUGAAAGACGGUCUUGCUGUCACUUAUAGAUGGAUCCGCGCUGCAUUAGCUAGUUGGUAAGGUAACGGCUUACCAAGGCAACGAUGCAUAGCCGACCUGAGAGGGUGAUCGGCCACGCUGGAACUGAGACACGGUCCAGACUCCUACGGGAGGCAGCAGUAGGGAAUCUUCCGCAAUGGGCGAAAGCCUGACGGAGCAACGCCGCGUGAGUGAUGAAGGUCUUCGGAUCGUAAAACUCUGUUAUUAGGGAAGAACAUAUGUGUAAGUAACUGUGCACAUCUUGACGGUACCUAAUCAGAAAGCCACGGCUAACUACGUG